AGAGUUGACCGGGUGAACGCGGAACGCGCGGGAGCGCGGGACGAGGAAAGUCCGAGCGCCGCAGGGCAGGGUGCCGGUGAAAUGCCGGUGGAGGCGACUUCAAGGAAAGUGCAACAGAAAUAAACCGCGGAGCCGUUCCGCAACAGGGGCGGCCGCAAGGGUGGAAAGGCGGGGCAAGAGCCCACCUGCCCCGGGGCGACCCGGGGCGAUAUGUAAACCCCACCCGGCGCAAGAUAACGAAAGGCAAAGAACGCGUUUCGGCGCGUUCCAAAAGGUUGCCCGCCGCCUUUCAGACUACAUCGCUUGAACGGCGCGGCGACGCGCCGUGUAGACAGAUGUUCAUCCAAGACAGAACUCGGCUUACAGGUCAGUCUCUUUUC
Molecule: RNase P RNA, 380 nt
Filed under: Clostridiales bacterium
Lineage: Bacteria; Bacillati; Bacillota; Clostridia; Eubacteriales
Description: RNase P RNA component class A
Rfam family: Bacterial RNase P class A
About the family: Ribonuclease P (RNase P) is a ubiquitous endoribonuclease, found in archaea, bacteria and eukarya as well as chloroplasts and mitochondria. Its best characterised activity is the generation of mature 5'-ends of tRNAs by cleaving the 5'-leader elements of precursor-tRNAs.
Source: RNAcentral